This 658-nucleotide long non-coding RNA is filed under the name Capsicum annuum. RNAcentral describes it as "long non-coding RNA (CANN_LNC007597)". Lineage: Eukaryota; Viridiplantae; Streptophyta; Magnoliopsida; Solanales; Solanaceae. The record is from RNAcentral.
CACCCUUUACUUUUUAAGAAAUUAAAUUUGUUUUUCUAGGUCAGCAUCAAAUUUUCAUAGUUUUCCAUGUCAUGAACUUUGAGGCUUGAGCAAAGCAAAAUCCACACAAGAUUGCCAAAAGAAAAAACUAUAAAAUAUGCCCAAAGUAUAACUAUUAUUUAUUUAUACAUCAAGAAGCAACAUGUGAGAGAAAACAAAAAGAUUUUCUAUACAUAAGUAGUAAAUUUAUUGUCAAACCUCCUAGACUUGCUAUAUACAUAGCUAGUCAUUAUUGAUCAACUCUAUACCCAAAUGGCAUUAGACCCAAUGAGCAAUUACUUAAGUUUGCCCCUUACAAUAAGGCUCAUUAUCUCAUUAGCACCACCAACUAACUCUUUCACCGCACUUGAUGCUCCCAACUUCAUCACCAUAUCCAUAUUGUUUAAACAACUUCAAGAAAUUAAAUAAUGUGUUUGGUUAAAUGCCAAGAUUUGGAGCUUUUAGUGGAGAUGAAAGAAGUUGUGAAGGCUAAAGGUUUGUGAAGUGAAUUUCAGGCUUGAUUUGUUGUUGUGAGAAUUGAAGUAUUUAUGAAGCUAUAUAUAGAGAUAUUAUGUUAUCUUAAAUGAGGAAAAAAAAAAGUGAAAAUCAUUGCUUCAAGAUUUACAAGUUGAUGGAUAUA